CUACGGGUUGCAGCAGCGAGGAAUAUUGCACAAUGGGGGGAACCCUGAUGCAGCAACGCCGCGUGGAGGAUGACGCAUUUCGGUGUGUAAACUCCUUUUAUAUGUCAAGAAAAUGACGGUAGCAUAUGAAUAAGCACCGGCUAACUCCGUGCCAGCAGCCGCGGUAAUACGGAGGGUGCAAGCGUUACUCGGAAUCACUGGGCGUAAAGGACGCGUAGGCGGGUUGGAAAGUCAGGUGUGAAAUUCUACAGCUUAACUGUAGAACUGCACUUGAAACUUCUAAUCUAGAGUAUGGGAGGGGGAGAUGGAAUUAGUGGUGUAGGGGUAAAAUCCGUAGAUAUCACUAGGAAUACCUAAAGCGAAGGCGAUCUCCUGGAACAUUACUGACGCUAAGGCGUGAAAGCGUGGGGAGCAAACAGGAUUAGAUACCCCGGUAGUC
RNAcentral lists this ribosomal RNA (439 nucleotides) under uncultured bacterium. RNAcentral's name for it is "partial 16S ribosomal RNA". It matches the Rfam family "Bacterial small subunit ribosomal RNA", at positions 339 to 795 of the family's 1533-position model. The record is from RNAcentral.